GAGAUUAAUGACCACGAUCUAGAAUGACUCCUCAUUUUUGUUGGGUCAUAAUAAGACGGAUUUGUGUCAUGUGAGGGGUAAAUUAGGAACCGUCACCUACCGUUUUAGUGAGCGGAUUUUAUGGGAUUUAUUAAUAUUGACAGCAAAAUACAUUUUCAUUUCCUACGCUAGAUAUUAGGUGAGAGACAAAAGGUUUAUCAUUUCUUCAAAGCAAAACACAAAAUCAUUCACUCCUAAACCAAAAAAACCCUUGUAAUUUAUUUCACACGCUUCAGCAAAAUCGGCGAUAUCUCUCAACAGCGACGCUUCUUUAGCAACGACGACCGCUCGCUCUGCCGGAGCAGGGAUCGUGGACGGUAAAGUUUAUGAAAGGAUGAAGGUGAACAAGAAAGAAGCACAAAACCAACCUCCGAAAAAUGCCGCUCAAUCUAGUUGGAGAACUUUGAAGAACAAUUGAGAGGGAAUCAUUGAUGGCAAAGGCGAGGCCUAAGCAAAUAUGAAUGGUCCCAAAAAAGUUAACAUGGGUGAGAGAAGGCCAUUGGAAUUGUGGACUAUCGACUAGAUAUAAUGGUGUGCUUCAGUAUUUAAGAGCUAAAAACUAUUGUGUUGAAGUUGGCCAAAAAUAAUCACAGCUCCCUUUUCAUAAAACAUCGACAUCCAAACAUUAUGCAACGGACAACAAGAAAAUGAUGAUCGGCGUUGAAAAGAUGAUAGCAAGCUACAGAGCUUCUGUGAUGGCCUUGUCAUAAAUUUUGGAUUUAAAGUAUGUUUCAUUGAUAUAAUUAUGUGCGUAUUUAACAUAUGAAUUUUCAAACAUUUUAUUUCUUCAAUGGGUGAUACUUUAAAAUGACAUUGGAUUUUA
Salvia hispanica is the source of this 862-nucleotide non-coding RNA. The record is from RefSeq and is a predicted model, not a curated record. Lineage: Eukaryota; Viridiplantae; Streptophyta; Magnoliopsida; Lamiales; Lamiaceae.